CCUACGGGAGGCAGCAGUAGGGAAUAUUGCUCAAUGGGGGAAACCCUGAAGCAGCAACGCCGCGUGGAGGAUGAAGGUUUUCGGAUUGUACACUCCUUUUGUUAGAGAAGAUAAUGACGGUAUCUAACGAAUAAGCACCGGCUAACUCCGUGCCAGCAGCCGCGGUAAUACGGAGGGUGCAAGCGUUACUCGGAAUCACUGGGCGUAAAGAGCGCGUAGGCGGGAUAGCAAGUCAGAUGUGAAAUCCUAUGGCUUAACCAUAGAACUGCAUUUGAAACUGUUAUUCUAGAGUGUGGGAGAGGUAGGUGGAAUUCUUGGGGUAGGGGUAAAAUCCGUAGAGAUCAAGAGGAAUACUCAUUGCGAAGGCGACCUGCUAGAACAUAACUGACGCUGAUGCGCGAAAGCGUGGGGAGCAAACAGGAGUAGAUACCCCAGUAGUC
RNAcentral lists this ribosomal RNA (440 nucleotides) under uncultured bacterium. RNAcentral describes it as "partial 16S ribosomal RNA". It matches the Rfam family "Bacterial small subunit ribosomal RNA", at positions 338 to 795 of the family's 1533-position model. The record is from RNAcentral.